ACACUCCUGCGGGAGGCAGCAGUGGGGAAUUUUGGACAAUGGGCGAAAGCCUGAUCCAGCAAUGCCGCGUGAGUGAAGAAGGCCUUCGGGUUGUAAAGCUCUUUUGUCAGGGAAGAAACGGUGAAAGCUAAUAUCUUUUGCUAAUGACGGUACCUGAAGAAUAAGCACCGGCUAACUACGUGCCAGCAGCCGCGGUAAUACGUAGGGUGCAAGCGUUAAUCGGAAUUACUGGGCGUAAAGCGUGCGCAGGCGGUUUUGUAAGUCUGAUGUGAAAUCCCCGGGCUCAACCUGGGAAUUGCAUUGGAGACUGCAAGGCUAGAAUCUGGCAGAGGGGGGUAGAAUUCCACGUGUAGCAGUGAAAUGCGUAGAUAUGUGGAGGAACACCGAUGGCGAAGGCAGCCCCCUGGGUCAAGAUUGACGCUCAUACACGAAAGCGUGGGGAGCAAACAGGAUUAGAUACCCCAGUAGUCCC
This 472-nucleotide ribosomal RNA is filed under the name uncultured organism. RNAcentral describes it as "partial 16S ribosomal RNA". It matches the Rfam family "Bacterial small subunit ribosomal RNA", at positions 333 to 797 of the family's 1533-position model. The record is from RNAcentral.